This 466-nucleotide ribosomal RNA is filed under the name uncultured bacterium. Its description in RNAcentral is "bacterial SSU rRNA". It matches the Rfam family "Bacterial small subunit ribosomal RNA", at positions 329 to 793 of the family's 1533-position model. The record is from RNAcentral.
UUCCAGACUCCUACGGGAGGCAGCAGUGAGGAAUAUUGGUCAAUGGGCUUACGCCUGAACCAGCCAAGUCGCGUGAGGGAUGACGGUCCUAUGGAUUGUAAACCUCUUUUGUCAGGGAGCAAAGGGCGCCACGUGUGGCGUUUUGCGAGUACCUGAAGAAAAAGCAUCGGCUAACUCCGUGCCAGCAGCCGCGGUAAUACGGAGGAUGCGAGCGUUAUCCGGAUUUAUUGGGUUUAAAGGGUGCGCAGGCGGAAUGUCAAGUCAGCGGUAAAAUUUCGGGGCUCAACCCCGUCGUGCCGUUGAAACUGGCGGGCUGGAGUUGGAGAGAAGUACGCGGAAUGCGCGGUGUAGCGGUGAAAUGCUUAGAUAUCGCGCAGAACCCCGAUUGCGAAGGCAGCGUACCGGCUCCACACUGACGCUGAGGCACGAAAGCGUGGGUAUCGAACAGGAUUAGAUACCCCAGUAU